GUCCCCAUCGACUAGAGGCCUAGGACACCGCCCUUUCACGGCGGUAACAGGGGUUCGACUCCCCUAGGGGACGCCA
Molecule: transfer RNA, 76 nt
Filed under: Gilvimarinus algae
Lineage: Bacteria; Pseudomonadati; Pseudomonadota; Gammaproteobacteria; Cellvibrionales; Cellvibrionaceae
Description: tRNA-Glu
Rfam family: tRNA
About the family: Transfer RNA (tRNA) molecules are approximately 80 nucleotides in length. Their secondary structure includes four short double-helical elements and three loops (D, anti-codon, and T loops).
Source: RNAcentral